GGAAGGUAAAAAUGGAGGAGAGCUGCGAUAACAGUCAGUGGAAGGAUGGAGAAGAACAUGCGUCACCGGCAGAGGAAUGGGCGGGGCUUUCCUGGCCGUGGGCCGCGGAGCCGCACCUGAUCAAAGGGACACAUCUUCUGUCCGGCCGCUGCGGCGGCGGCGAGUGGCGGGAUAAACUGUUGAAGGAUGCUCUGUGUCUACCCAGCAGCAGAAUGCUUUAAUUGCAACGUUUGGGCUUCAAUACCUGCCUUGCCUGCAUAGGAGAUUGAUAACAUGCCUUUUUCUCCGUGGAGGGAACUUACAAUGCUUCAUGCUGUCUGUAAAGUGAGUAAAAUUCAAAUAUGAUGCUGCCUGUCAUCACCGUCCCGCUUACUGCACUAUGUUAAGUCGGCCCUCACUGUCAGUGUCACUGCACCGAGUCACCUGCCGCCAGCCGCAGUUACCUCACUGUCAGUGUCACUGCACCGAGUCACCUGCCGCCAGCCGCAGUUACCUCACUCUGACAGGAUUGCAUGUCAUUUAUCAGGAACUUGUUCUGGAUCUGCAGUUCCGGAAUGGAAAUCCACCCCAGAGGAGCUGAGGUUCUUCUCCUCCACCUGAUGAUACAUAGUGACAGGGCCUGCCAUAGUUAAUGUCACUGCCAGUGUGCGAUUGUCAUGCAGUAGCUGGACGGGGAGGUGACCCGGAAGGCAUCACCCCAGGGAGGGUGUGACAGCAGCCCUGGUAAUAGGAGAGGAAGGGGAAUAGGGCUCUUUAAUGCCCAGUGUAAUGCUGGGAACAGACCACAUUCACAUCCUUCCCGAGUGUCAGGAGAA
Paramormyrops kingsleyae is the source of this 815-nucleotide non-coding RNA. NCBI's taxonomy places the organism in Eukaryota, Metazoa, Chordata, Actinopteri, Osteoglossiformes, Mormyridae. The record is from RefSeq and is a predicted model, not a curated record.